Long non-coding RNA from Hipposideros armiger (great roundleaf bat), 490 nucleotides. RefSeq lists it as uncharacterized. NCBI's taxonomy places the organism in Eukaryota, Metazoa, Chordata, Mammalia, Chiroptera, Hipposideridae. The transcript is spliced from 4 exons. The record is from RefSeq and is a predicted model, not a curated record.
GCAGAGAGAAGCGGAUUCAGGCUUUUUAAUCUGGGGAGAAGCAAUCUCCAGGGAUUUGUGAUUUGUGGAGGAGAACGGGUCACACUGAGGGUGCUGCUGAGAGCCUGAGAACGAUGGAGCGUUUACCCAGCGCCUUCUGACCAUCCUGAAGGGAAGAGUCUAUUCUCCUAUUGAAGGCCACAUCCUGGCCUCAAAGUUCAGCUUUCAAUCUCCUCAUGCCUUCAAAAGGAUUUAAAACAGUAACAGAUUUACUGAGAUUGGUCUCAUUGUCUUGGAACCAUCUCUCUGAAAUGUAUGUUCAGUGUUGUCCUGCCUGAUCCUGCUUGGUGUUCUCUGAAUAUACUACUUUCUUGACUCUGGACAGUAUGGCUUGAGGUUGGCUAAUGCCAGAAGUAACAACAUAUCAUUUCCAAAUUUCCAGAGAGAACAAUUAAGGAGAAGAAGUAGAGAUCCAACAGUGAGCUUCAUAAUUCCUUGUUCAUAGAAGGAC